UACGAAGGGGGCUAGCGUUGCUCGGAAUCACUGGGCGUAAAGGGUGCGUAGGUGGCGGGGUAAGUCUGGUGUGAAAUCUCGGAGCUCAACUCCGAAACUGCACUGGAUACUGCCUUGCUCGAGUACUGGAGAGGAGAUUGGAAUUUACGGUGUAGCGGUGAAAUGCGUAGAUAUCGUAAGGAAGACCAGUGGCGAAGGCGGGUCUCUGGACAGUUCCUGACGCUGAGGCACGAAGGCCAGGGGAGCAAACGGG
This 253-nucleotide ribosomal RNA is filed under the name uncultured bacterium. Its description in RNAcentral is "partial 16S ribosomal RNA". It matches the Rfam family "Bacterial small subunit ribosomal RNA", at positions 524 to 776 of the family's 1533-position model. The record is from RNAcentral.